This 468-nucleotide ribosomal RNA is filed under the name uncultured bacterium. RNAcentral describes it as "partial 16S ribosomal RNA". It matches the Rfam family "Bacterial small subunit ribosomal RNA", at positions 28 to 507 of the family's 1533-position model. The record is from RNAcentral.
GACGAACGCUGGCGGCGUGCUUAACACAUGCAAGUCGAACGGAAAGGCACUGCUUUUGUGGGGUGCUCGAGUGGCGAACGGGUGAGUAACACGUGAGUAACCUGAUCUUGACUUUGGGAUAACUUCAGGAAACUGGGGCUAAUACCGGAUAGGAGAUCCUGCUGCAUGGUGGGGGUUGGAAAGUUUCGGCGGUUGGGGAUGGAUUCGCGGCUUAUCAGCUUGUUGGUGGGGUAGUGGCUUACCCAGGCUUUGACGGGUAGCCGGCCUGAGAGGGUGACCGGCGACAGUGGGACUGAGAGACGGCCCAGACGCCUACAGGAGGCAGCAGUGGGGAAUAUUGCACAAUGAUCGGAAGCCUGAGGCAGCGACGCCGCGUGCGGGAUGACGGCCUUCGGGGUAUAAACCGCUGUCGCCUGAGACGAAGCUGUAGUGACGGUAAUGGAUAAAGAAGCACCGGCUAACUACGUG